GCUGGGCAUGGUGAUGUACACCUGUAAUCCCAGCGUCUCAGGAGGCUGAGGCAGGAGGAUUGUGAGUUCAAAGCCAGCCUCAGCAAAAGUGAGGUGCUAAGCAACUCAGUGAGACCCUGUCUCUA
This 125-nucleotide small RNA is filed under the name Marmota monax (woodchuck). Lineage: Eukaryota; Metazoa; Chordata; Mammalia; Rodentia; Sciuridae. The record is from RNAcentral.